This 489-nucleotide ribosomal RNA is filed under the name Centipeda noxia. RNAcentral's name for it is "bacterial SSU rRNA". It matches the Rfam family "Bacterial small subunit ribosomal RNA", at positions 28 to 492 of the family's 1533-position model. The record is from RNAcentral. Lineage: Bacteria; Bacillati; Bacillota; Negativicutes; Selenomonadales; Selenomonadaceae.
GACGAACGCGGCGGCGUGCUUAACACAUGCAAGUCGAACGGAGCGAAUGAAAGCUUGCUUUUAUAAGCUUAGUGGCAAACGGGUGAGUAACACGUAGGCAACCUGCCGACAGGAUGGGGACAACAUUCCGAAAGGAAUGCUAAUACCGAAUGAAGCGCAGGGGAGGCAUCUCUCCUGCGUGAAAGAUGGCCUCUAUAUAUAAGCUAUCACCUGUCGAUGGGCCUGCGUCUGAUUAGCUGGUAGGUGAGGUAACGGCUCACCUAGGCGACGAUCAGUAGCCGGUCUGAGAGGAUGAACGGCCACAUUGGGACUGAGACACGGCCCAGACUCCUACGGGAGGCAGCAGUGGGGAAUCUUCCGCAAUGGGCGCAAGCCUGACGGAGCAACGCCGCGUGAGUGAAGAAGGUCUUCGGAUCGUAAAGCUCUGUUGAUGGGGACGAACGUGCCUAAUGCGAAUAGUAUUAGGUAAUGACGGACCCAUCAGGAGCC